This 1823-nucleotide long non-coding RNA is filed under the name Anas platyrhynchos platyrhynchos (common mallard). RNAcentral describes it as "lncRNA (ENSAPLG00000020297.1)". The record is from RNAcentral. Lineage: Eukaryota; Metazoa; Chordata; Aves; Anseriformes; Anatidae.
CAGCUCCCUCCAGCCCCAUUUGGGGACCCCUCAGGGGUUGCAUGCAGUGUUUUUGGGGGGGGGUCCCCGCCCCCUUUCUUGGCCCCCCCCCCCAUAAAGACGAGAUCAAGGUGGAGGUGCCGUGCGGGACGGACGAGCCGGCGCGGCUGUGCCCCAACGGGACGCGCUGCAAGAAGUACUGGGAGGGCCCCAACUACGGCAUCACGCAGUUCGACAACAUCCUCUUCGCCGUGCUCACCGUCUUCCAGUGCAUCACCAUGGAAGGCUGGACCGACCUCCUCUACUAUGUGAGACCCCCCCCCCCGGGACCCCCACCCACCGGCACCGGGACCCCCACAUGGGGGGGCUCAGGUCCCAUAUGGGGUCCCACGGGGGGGCUGCAGUCUCUAUAGGGUCCCACAGGGGGGCUCUGGUCCCUAUGGGGUCUCCUAGAGGGCUCUGGUUUUUAUGGGGUGCCCUGGGGGUCUCCAGUCUCUAUGGGGUCCCACAGGGGGGCUCCAAUCCAUAUAGGGUCCCGCAUGGGGGGGGUCUGGUUGUUAUGGGGUGUCCCAGGGGGCUCCGGUCACUAUGGGGUAUCCCUGGGGUCUCUGGUCCCUAUGGGGUUCCUCUGGGGGGCUCUGGUCCCCAUGGGGUCUCAUAGGAGGGCUCUAGUCCCUAUAGGGUCCCACAGGGGGGCUCUGAUCUCUAUGGGGUCCCAUGGGGGGCUCUGGUUGUUAUGGGGUGCCCCCGGGGGUCUCCAGUCUCUAUGGGUUUCCCCAGGGGUGUCUGGUCCCUAUGGGGUCCCACAGGGGGGCUCUGGUCAUUAUGGGGUUCCUCUGGGGGUCUCUGGUCCCCAUGGGGUCUCUGGUCCCUAUGGGGUCUCACAGGGGGGCUCUGGUCCCUAUGGGGUUCCUCUGGGGGUCUCUGGUCUCUAUGGGGUCCCACAGUGGGGUUCCGGUCAUUAUGAGGUGCCCCAGGGGGCUCUGGUCUCUAUAGGGUCCCAUGAGGGGGCUCUAGUCAUUAUGGGAUGCCCCUGGGGUCUCUGGUCCAUAUGGGGUCUCAUGGGGGGUCUGGUCAUUAUGGGGUUCCUCUGGGGGUCUCUGGUUCCUAUAGGGUCUCCUACGGGGCUCUGGUUGUUAUGGGGUGCCCUGGGGGUCUCCAGUCUCUAUGGGGUCUCUGGUCCCUAUCGGGUCCCACAGGGGGGCUUCACUCCUCAAAAGGUCCCACAGGGGGUCUCCAGUCUCUAUGGGGUCCCACAGGGGGGCUCUGGUCCCUAUGGGGUCCCACAGGGGGUCUUUGGCUCCCAUAGGGUCCCACGCGGGGUCUCUGGUCAUUAUGGGGUGCCCCUGGGGUCUCCAGUCUCUAUGGGGUCCCAGAGGGGGUCUCCAAUCCCUAUGGGGUCCCACGGGGGAGCUCUGGUUCUCAUAGGGUCCCACAGGGGAGCUCUGGUCAUUAUGGGGUUUGUCUGGGGGUCUCCAGUCUCUAUGGGGUCUCUGGUUCCUAUAGGGUCCCACUGGGGGUUCAGGUCCCUAUGGGGUCACAUGGGGUGGGUCUGGUCGUUAUGGGGUUCCCCGGGGGGCUCUGGUCCCUGUGGGGUUCCUCUGGGGGUCUCUGGUCCCCAUGGGGUCCCACAGGGGGGCUUCACUCCUCAAAAGGUCCCACAGGGGGUCUCCAAUCCAUAUAGGGUCCCACAGGGGGGCUCUGGUCCCCAUGGGGUCUCUGGUUCCUAUAGGGUCUCCUACGGGGCUCUGGUUGUUAUGGGGUGCCCUGGGGGUCUCCAGUCUCUAUGGGGACCCCCAGGGGUCUCCAAUCCCUAUGGGGACCCCCAGGGGGUCUCCAGUCCC